ACUCCUACGGGAGGCAGCAGUGGGGAAUAUUGCACAAUGGACGAAAGUCUGAUGCAGCAACGCCGCGUGGAGGAUGACACAUUUCGGUGCGUAAACUCCUUUUAUAUGGGAAGAUAAUGACGGUACCAUAUGAAUAAGCACCGGCUAACUCC
This 152-nucleotide ribosomal RNA is filed under the name uncultured bacterium. RNAcentral's name for it is "partial 16S ribosomal RNA". It matches the Rfam family "Bacterial small subunit ribosomal RNA", at positions 335 to 504 of the family's 1533-position model. The record is from RNAcentral.